This 276-nucleotide ribosomal RNA is filed under the name uncultured bacterium. RNAcentral describes it as "partial 16S ribosomal RNA". It matches the Rfam family "Bacterial small subunit ribosomal RNA", at positions 79 to 354 of the family's 1533-position model. The record is from RNAcentral.
CUUUCUCCGCCGGCGACCGGCGCACGGGUGAGUAACACGUAUGCAACCUGCCCCUGUCAGGGGGACAACCCGCCGAAAGGCGGGCUAAACCCGCGUACAUGCCACCGGGGCAUCCCGGAGGCAGGAAAGGCUUCGGCCGGACAGGGAUGGGCAUGCGGCGCAUUAGGCAGUAGGCGGGGUAACGGCCCACCUAACCGACGAUGCGUAGGGGUUCUGAGAGGAAGGUCCCCCACACUGGUACUGAGACGCGGACCAGACUCCUACGGGAGGCAGCAG